GGGCUUGACAUCCCACGAACCUUCCCGAAAGGGUUGGGUGCCCGCAAGGGAGCGUGGAGACAGGUGGUGCAUGGCUGUCGUCAGCUCGUGUCGUGAGAUGUUGGGUUAAGUCCCGCAACGAGCGCAACCCUCACCCCUUGUUGCCACCGGGUAAGGCCGAGCACUCUUGGGGAACUGCUAGCGUUAAGCUGGAGGAAGGCGGGGAUGACGUCAAGUCAUCAUGCCCCUUACGCCCUGGGCUACACACGUGCUACAAUGGCCGGUACAAAGGGAUGCAAUACCGCGAGGUGGAGCUAAUCCCAGAAAACCGGUCUAAGUUCAGAUUGCAGUCUGCAACUCGACUGCAUGAAGGAGGAAUCGCUAGUAAUCGCGCAUCAGAACGGCGCGGUGAAUACGUUCCCGGGCCUUGUACACACCGCCCGUCACACCACGAAAGCCGGCUGUACUCGAAGUCGCUGAGA
RNAcentral lists this ribosomal RNA (461 nucleotides) under uncultured Methylomirabilota bacterium. Its description in RNAcentral is "bacterial SSU rRNA". It matches the Rfam family "Bacterial small subunit ribosomal RNA", at positions 977 to 1435 of the family's 1533-position model. The record is from RNAcentral. Lineage: Bacteria; Methylomirabilota (SeqCode).